UACUUAUCAAUCUUCUUCCAACGCGCAACGGGAACAAAAUUGAUUAUCAAGCGUUUCUUGCUCUCUCCCAAGUCCCAAACCUUGAAACGCUGCAAAUUUUUUCUUUAAAUUGGUUUCAAUGGUUACUCAAUUCUUCAGUUCAUUCUCAUCCAUCAGCCAAUCUUUCUCCUCUCUAUGUUUCUGUUAUCCUAUGGUGGUCAUACGAAUUUUUCAGCUUUCGAUCGAUGUAGGCUGAGGUACAAAUCAAAAUAGGACCUGCCCUGCCGAUGAGCACUCGUUCUGCAGCAGCCAAAGCAUCGGAUCCAGUAUGCUUAGACGAUUGAAGUGACGCUCAUCUAAUGACUAAUGGUCAAGAAAUUCUGUCCGGAGAUGUUGCCGAAUGAGGCAUAUGAAACAGAUAGGCCUUGGACAUCCAUUCCAAUUAUGGAGUUUGCAAAGAAAAUGGAUAUGUUUCCAAGUGUUAUGGUUGCAUAUAGGAUUUUAUUGACUAUACCGGUGAUGGUAGCAUCCGCCGUAAGAAGUUUUUCAAAAUUAAAAUUAUUAAAGUCUUAUCUGCGGACUACCAUGACUCAAGAUAGGCUGAAUGGAUUAGCUAUUUUAACCAUUGAAAGAAAUAUGUUGGUAAAUGUUGACUAUGAGAAGAUAAUUGAUGAUUUUGCUUCAAGAAAUGCAAUAAGGCAUCAUUUUAGAUGAUUUGUAAUCUUUUUUAUAUGGGGUUUUGGUUUUAUGUCCCCCCCCCCAUUGUAUAAUGUUUCUUUAUAUAAUAAAAUCGGCGUGGGGAUGAGCCGCCCAGCUUGACUGGGUUCCAAACCCCUAAAAAAAGAAUUUAGAAUAUGA
This is a long non-coding RNA of Rosa rugosa (rugosa rose), 837 nucleotides long. RefSeq lists it as uncharacterized. NCBI's taxonomy places the organism in Eukaryota, Viridiplantae, Streptophyta, Magnoliopsida, Rosales, Rosaceae. The record is from RefSeq and is a predicted model, not a curated record. The transcript has 3 exons.